This is a long non-coding RNA of Carassius auratus (goldfish), 541 nucleotides long. RefSeq lists it as uncharacterized. The record is from RefSeq and is a predicted model, not a curated record. The transcript is spliced from 4 exons. Lineage: Eukaryota; Metazoa; Chordata; Actinopteri; Cypriniformes; Cyprinidae.
CUUUUUACCCUAAUAAAUCAUUCAGAAAGAAAUAUUCAGUGCAGUUUAAACAUGGUCUGGUUAUUAAUAAUGUGACUGCAGAUGAAUUAGGAGUUUAUUACUGUAUGAACACAGAAACACCUCCAAAACUCAGCAACAGCACCAGAAUAUACUUCAACGACUCAACUCAACUAACUCACAAUCAUACAGCAAUCGACUGCAUUGAUCAGAAUCAAACACAAUAUCAGAUUAUCAUAAUCAUAUCUGCUCUGAUGAAUGGACUUCUGAUCAUUGUUCUGAUUGUUUCUGUUGCUGGAAAAACAGAGCGGUUGGAAAAACACAUUCAUAAUGAUGAUCUGCAGACAAAAGUUACAUAUCAGCUUCAAGAUCCAAACCAAUUGUAGGCACAAUGAGUUCAUUAAUGUGGAACAUAAUCUGCAAGCAAACAACAGCUGUGUGAUUACAUAACAUGUUAUUAAAGUGUUGUGUUUAACUCAAGAACAUAUUUUUAUAUGGUGUACAUUAUUGAGUAUUUGGGAUAAUAGUUAUCACAAUUCUUACU